This is a long non-coding RNA of Neltuma alba, 353 nucleotides long. RefSeq lists it as uncharacterized. Lineage: Eukaryota; Viridiplantae; Streptophyta; Magnoliopsida; Fabales; Fabaceae. The transcript has 2 exons. The record is from RefSeq and is a predicted model, not a curated record.
GUUCAGGCUAGUGGAGAUUACAAUGCAAAACUUGGCGUCACAAUUCUUGGUGAAUCUGUUAUUGUAGAAGACGAGGUUGUGGUUGUUAAUAGCAUCGUUCUUCCUCACAAGACCCUAAAUGUGGGUGUUCAAGAUGAGAUACUCUUAUAGGUCCUCCUCACAAGACUCUGUUUGAUUCCUUAUAGUUGUAUUUGCUUUUUAUUAUUGUUAUUAUUACUAGUGGGUGACAGUUCCAUGUUGGAAGCCAAGGACAGAAAAUGUAGCGUGCUAUUUAUUGCGUUUGUAAAGUGACCUUUAUUGAUCAAGCUGUUGGUUGAUGAGCAUGGACACUACUAAUUGGUGUUCUACAAAAA